GGGUUGUGAGGUUAAGCGACUAAGCGUACACGGUGGAUGCCCUGGCAGUCAGAGGCGAUGAAGGACGUGCUAAUCUGCGAUAAGCGUCGGUAAGGUGAUAUGAACCGUUAUAACCGGCGAUUUCCGAAUGGGGAAACCCAGUGUGAUUCGUCACACUAUCAUUAACUGAAUCCAUAGGUUAAUGAGGCGAACCGGGGGAACUGAAACAUCUAAGUACCCCGAGGAAAAGAAAUCAACCGAGAUUCCCCCAGUAGCGGCGAGCGAACGGGGAGCAGCCCAGAGCCUGAAUCAGUGUGUGUGUUAGUGGAAGCGUCUGGAAAGGCGUGCGAUACAGGGUGACAGCCCCGUACACAAAAAUACACAUGCUGUGAGCUCGAUGAGUAGGGCGGGACACGUGGUAUCCUGUCUGAAUAUGGGGGGACCAUCCUCCAAGGCUAAAUACUCCUGACUGACCGAUAGUGAACCAGUACCGUGAGGGAAAGGCGAAAAGAACCCCGGCGAGGGGAGUGAAAAAGAACCUGAAACCGUGUACGUACAAGCAGUGGGAGCACGCUUCGGCGUGUGACUGCGUACCUUUUGUAUAAUGGGUCAGCGACUUAUAUUCUGUAGCAAGGUUAACCGAAUAGGGGAGCCGAAGGGAAACCGAGUCUUAACUGGGCGUUAAGUUGCAGGGUAUAGACCCGAAACCCGGUGAUCUAGCCAUGGGCAGGUUGAAGGUUGGGUAACACUAACUGGAGGACCGAACCGACUAAUGUUGAAAAAUUAGCGGAUGACUUGUGGCUGGGGGUGAAAGGCCAAUCAAACCGGGAGAUAGCUGGUUCUCCCCGAAAGCUAUUUAGGUAGCGCCUCGUGAACUCAUCUCCGGGGGUAGAGCACUGUUUCGGCAAGGGGGUCAUCCCGACUUACCAACCCGAUGCAAACUGCGAAUACCGGAGAAUGUUAUCACGGGAGACACACGGCGGGUGCUAACGUCCGUCGUGAAGAGGGAAACAACCCAGACCGCCAGCUAAGGUCCCAAAGUCAUGGUUAAGUGGGAAACGAUGUGGGAAGGCCCAGACAGCCAGGAUGUUGGCUUAGAAGCAGCCAUCAUUUAAAGAAAGCGUAAUAGCUCACUGGUCGAGUCGGCCUGCGCGGAAGAUGUAACGGGGCUAAACCAUGCACCGAAGCUGCGGCAGCGACGCUGAUGCGUUGUUGGGUAGGGGAGCGUUCUGUAAGCCUGUGAAGGUGUGCUGUGAGGCAUGCUGGAGGUAUCAGAAGUGCGAAUGCUGACAUAAGUAACGAUAAAGCGGGUGAAAAGCCCGCUCGCCGGAAGACCAAGGGUUCCUGUCCAACGUUAAUCGGGGCAGGGUGAGUCGACCCCUAAGGCGAGGCCGAAAGGCGUAGUCGAUGGGAAACAGGUUAAUAUUCCUGUACUUGGUGUUACUGCGAAGGGGGGACGGAGAAGGCUAUGUUGGCCGGGCGACGGUUGUCCCGGUUUAAGCGUGUAGGCUGGUUUUCCAGGCAAAUCCGGAAAAUCAAGGCUGAGGCGUGAUGACGAGGCACUACGGUGCUGAAGCAACAAAUGCCCUGCUUCCAGGAAAAGCCUCUAAGCAUCAGGUAACAUCAAAUCGUACCCCAAACCGACACAGGUGGUCAGGUAGAGAAUACCAAGGCGCUUGAGAGAACUCGGGUGAAGGAACUAGGCAAAAUGGUGCCGUAACUUCGGGAGAAGGCACGCUGAUAUGUAGGUGAAGUCCCUCGCGGAUGGAGCUGAAAUCAGUCGAAGAUACCAGCUGGCUGCAACUGUUUAUUAAAAACACAGCACUGUGCAAACACGAAAGUGGACGUAUACGGUGUGACGCCUGCCCGGUGCCGGAAGGUUAAUUGAUGGGGUCAGCGCAAGCGAAGCUCUUGAUCGAAGCCCCGGUAAACGGCGGCCGUAACUAUAACGGUCCUAAGGUAGCGAAAUUCCUUGUCGGGUAAGUUCCGACCUGCACGAAUGGCGUAAUGAUGGCCAGGCUGUCUCCACCCGAGACUCAGUGAAAUUGAACUCGCUGUGAAGAUGCAGUGUACCCGCGGCAAGACGGAAAGACCCCGUGAACCUUUACUAUAGCUUGACACUGAACAUUGAGCCUUGAUGUGUAGGAUAGGUGGGAGGCUUUGAAGUGUGGACGCCAGUCUGCAUGGAGCCGACCUUGAAAUACCACCCUUUAAUGUUUGAUGUUCUAACGUGGACCCGUGAUCCGGGUUGCGGACAGUGUCUGGUGGGUAGUUUGACUGGGGCGGUCUCCUCCUAAAGAGUAACGGAGGAGCACGAAGGUUGGCUAAUCCUGGUCGGACAUCAGGAGGUUAGUGCAAUGGCAUAAGCCAGCUUGACUGCGAGCGUGACGGCGCGAGCAGGUGCGAAAGCAGGUCAUAGUGAUCCGGUGGUUCUGAAUGGAAGGGCCAUCGCUCAACGGAUAAAAGGUACUCCGGGGAUAACAGGCUGAUACCGCCCAAGAGUUCAUAUCGACGGCGGUGUUUGGCACCUCGAUGUCGGCUCAUCACAUCCUGGGGCUGAAGUAGGUCCCAAGGGUAUGGCUGUUCGCCAUUUAAAGUGGUACGCGAGCUGGGUUUAGAACGUCGUGAGACAGUUCGGUCCCUAUCUGCCGUGGGCGCUGGAGAACUGAGGGGGGCUGCUCCUAGUACGAGAGGACCGGAGUGGACGCAUCACUGGUGUUCGGGUUGUCAUGCCAAUGGCACUGCCCGGUAGCUAAAUGCGGAAGAGAUAAGUGCUGAAAGCAUCUAAGCACGAAACUUGCCCCGAGAUGAGUUCUCCCUGACCCUUUAAGGGUCCUGAAGGAACGUUGAAGACGACGACGUUGAUAGGCCGGGUGUGUAAGCGCAGCGAUGCGUUGAGCUAACCGGUACUAAUGAACCGUGAGGCUUAACCUUACAACGCCGAAG
This 2925-nucleotide ribosomal RNA is filed under the name Escherichia coli. RNAcentral describes it as "23S ribosomal RNA". It matches the Rfam family "Bacterial large subunit ribosomal RNA". The record is from RNAcentral. Lineage: Bacteria; Pseudomonadati; Pseudomonadota; Gammaproteobacteria; Enterobacterales; Enterobacteriaceae.